GAGCAAUUGUGGAGUCGCUAAGCGAAUUGGAGGAUUUGAAAACGGCCACUGGAACAGGUUUGCCAAAGCGAAGUUUGUGGAAAGAAGUCGUACUCACUCGUGUCUGUUGUACGAAGGUUCCGUAGGGAAAUAGUGACAUUGUGGAACAACGAAGACAUUUCUGGGCGUCUGCACGAAGCUGGGGAGAGAAAGAGAGCGGGAGGAGAUCAGUAUUACGAAGACUGUGAGUACAUUGGAUUGCUUAGAUUGUUGUUUAUAUCUGGAUGAGAAAGAGAGCGGGAGAAGAUCAGUAUCACGAAGACUCUUGUUGAGCGGCCCCAUCGUUGGAGGACGAGACGAGUGGGCGAGCCGAAGUAGAGCGUGGGUGAAUGGAUGUUAUUUGGCUGUGGCCACACCGUAAAGUUUGGAGCACUUACCGUGACAGCGACUGCAAACUCCUCCAGGACGAAAUCCGACCGGGCGUGGAGUACCGACCUUAAAAAUCACUGAAGUGUGUGUAGUGCAGUGGGUGAGUCUGUCUUUGACGUGUGUACACCGAAGCUUUGCAGUGCUGUGCUGUGCCGUGUCCUUGUUGUCUGUACUCUCCUUCCAGGCCGAGAAAAGUUCCUGUUGGAGAGAACGUAGGCUGCUGUGGCGGUGCCCACCUAUUCCACCUACGCCCGCCUAUAACUCCGUUCCCCGGAUCCAGCUUGAAGGUGAAGCGUGAAUGCAAAACAAGGUAUUGUGCGGAUAUUGUGGGGAAAGCUACUGACCUUGAAUACGCUCUGUAAGCCCAGCGUGAAGAUACAGUUACUUGUUGAAUACUUACCUGUCUGUACGAGCUAAAGCUACUGACCUUGAAUACGCCCUGUAAAGCCCAGCGUGAAGAUACAGCUACUUGUUGAAUACUUAUUCGCCUGCACGAGUUAAAAGCCAUUGCUCUGGAACACUCAGUAAGCCUAGUGUGAAGAGUCAGUCACUUUGCUCCAUACCUAUCUGUGUUACGAGUAAAAAGUUACUCGCUUCUGAUAUACCGGUGGACAUCCAGGGGCAUGGCCUAGUUACCCUGCUACAUCCUUACCGUUGUUACUUACCUGUGCCUUCAGGGAUUUGUGUGUUACCUUAUAUCUACCUAGGAGGUCUAUGGGAGUGGAGGAGCUGUCCAGACGCUG
Molecule: long non-coding RNA, 1151 nt
Organism: Cyprinus carpio carpio
Lineage: Eukaryota; Metazoa; Chordata; Actinopteri; Cypriniformes; Cyprinidae
Source: Ensembl